GAGUUGAGUAUGAUGAAGAGGCCGUACAUGGCGUAGUAAUACUAGUUAUCUGAGUAACUUCCAAGGGUUAAACCAAAGUUACCCUAGUUAUCCUAGUAUACUAGUUAUACUAGUUGCCCGGGUAACUUUGGAUGAAGAAGAGAAGCCCUAUUCCCUUUGCUAAGGCAUCAGACCGUUGCAAGGGAAGAGGAGGCACAUGUGACAGGCUGGAGAAGAGCUGGAUAAAGCAAAAGGAGCUUUAUGCACAAGGAAUAAGCUCAUUGGAUGGAUUGAAUUAAAGCAAACUUUAUCUAUUGUAAUAGUGCCUCUUUAUGAAACCCUCAUCAUAGUGUUGCCUCAUCAUAUAUAUUGUAAACUCUGAUCAGAUUAAUAAUUAAGAAGUUUGAGAUUUCUCUCUAGACUCUCUCUCUUGUUCAUGAUGAUUCUUAAAUACUC
Molecule: long non-coding RNA, 435 nt
Filed under: Brassica napus (rape)
Lineage: Eukaryota; Viridiplantae; Streptophyta; Magnoliopsida; Brassicales; Brassicaceae
Description: long non-coding RNA (BNAP_LNC009880)
Source: RNAcentral